RNAcentral lists this unclassified non-coding RNA (733 nucleotides) under Hevea brasiliensis (rubber tree). Lineage: Eukaryota; Viridiplantae; Streptophyta; Magnoliopsida; Malpighiales; Euphorbiaceae. The record is from RNAcentral.
UAACUAGGCUAUUGGACACUUUCUACCAAAUCCGAGCUGCAAGGGUCUGCUCCUGUGCUCUCUGGAUCAUUGGAGAGUACUGCCUGUCUCUUUCUGAAGUUCAGAAUGGCAUAGCUAUCAUCAAGCAGUGCCUUGGGGAGUUGCCUUUUUAUUCUGUUUCAGAAGAAGGGGAGGCACCUGAUGCUUCAAAGAAGCCUCCACAGGCAAAUUCCAUUACUGUUUCUUCCAGGAGACCAGCUAUUCUUGCUGAUGGGACAUAUGCUACACAGAGCGCUGCCUCUGAAACUGCAUUUUCUCCUCCUACCAUUGUUCAGGGGACACUGGCUUCAGGGAAUUUGAGAUCCCUUCUCCUCACUGGUGAUUUUUUCCUUGGAGCAGUUGUGGCAUGCACUCUGACAAAGCUCGUUUUGAGAUUGGAAGAGGUGCAGCCUUCUAAAAUCGAGGUGAACAAGGCAUCCGCGCAGGCAUUGUUGAUCAUGGUUUCUAUGCUACNNNNNCAAUCUUCAGUUUUGCCACACCCAAUUGAUAAUGAUUCUUAUGAUAGGAUCCUCCUUUGUAUAAGAUUACUAUGCAAUACUGGUGAUGACAUCAGAAAGAUAUGGUUGCAAUCUUGCCGUCAGAGUUUUGUCAAAAUGCUUUCAGAAAAACAAUUGAGGGAAACUGAGGAAUUAAAGGCAAAAGCUCAGGUUUCUCAUGCACAACCGGAUGACCUGAUUGAUUUCUACCAUUUGAA